This 504-nucleotide ribosomal RNA is filed under the name uncultured bacterium. RNAcentral's name for it is "partial 16S ribosomal RNA". It matches the Rfam family "Bacterial small subunit ribosomal RNA", at positions 30 to 523 of the family's 1533-position model. The record is from RNAcentral.
AUUGAACGCUGGCGGCAGGCCUAACACAUGCAAGUCGAACGGUAGCACAGAGAGCUUGCUCUCGGGUGACGAGUGGCGGACGGGUGAGUAAUGUCUGGGAAACUGCCCGAUGGAGGGGGAUAACUACUGGAAACGGUAGCUAAUACCGCAUACCGUCGCAAGACCAAAGUGGGGGACCUUCGGGCCUCCCACCAUCGGAUGUGCCCAGAUGGGAUUAGCUAGUAGGUGGGGUAAUGGCUCACCUAGGCGACGAUCCCUAGCUGGUCUGAGAGGAUGACCAGCCACACUGGAACUGAGACACGGUCCAGACUCCUACGGGAGGCAGCAGUGGGGAAUAUUGCACAAUGGGCGCAAGCCUGAUGCAGCCAUGCCGCGUGUAUGAAGAAGGCCUUCGGGUUGUAAAGUACUUUCAGCGGGGAGGAAGGCGGUGAAGUUAAUAACUUCACCGAUUGACGUUACCCGCAGAAGAAGCACUGGCUAACUCCGUGCCAGCCGCCGCAGUAA